CACUCCUGCGGGAGGCAGCAGUGGGGAAUAUUGCACAAUGGGCGCAAGCCUGAUGCAGCCAUGCCGCGUGUAUGAAGAAGGCCUUCGGGUUGUAAAGUACUUUCAGCGGGGAGGAAGGCAAUACGGUUAAUAACCGUGUUGAUUGACGUUACCCGCAGAAGAAGCACCGGCUAACUCCGUGCCAGCAGCCGCGGUAAUACGGCGGGUGCAAGCGUUAAUCGGAAUUACUGGGCGUAAAGCGCACGCAGGCGGUCUGUCAAGUCGGAUGUGAAAUCCCCGGGCUCAACCUGGGAACUGCAUUCGAAACUGGCAGGCUUGAGUCUUGUAGAGGGGGGUAGAAUUCCAGGUGUAGCGGUGAAAUGCGUAGAGAUCUGGAGGAAUACCGGUGGCGAAGGCGGCCCCCUGGACAAAGACUGACGCUCAGGUGCGAAAGCGUGGGGAGCAAACAGGAUUAGAUACCCUAGUAGUCCCAUGAU
RNAcentral lists this ribosomal RNA (476 nucleotides) under uncultured organism. RNAcentral's name for it is "partial 16S ribosomal RNA". It matches the Rfam family "Bacterial small subunit ribosomal RNA", at positions 334 to 801 of the family's 1533-position model. The record is from RNAcentral.